GCGCAGCAGUCGCGAAACCUCCGCAAUACACAAAAGUGUGACGGGGCCAUCCCGAGUGCCGUCCGCUGAGGACGGCUUUUCCCCAGUGUACACAGCUGGGGGAAUAAGGAGAGGGCAAGCCUGGUGUCAGCCGCCGCGGUAAUACCAGCUCUCCGAGUGGUGGGGACGCUUAUUGGGCCUAAAGCAUCCGUAGCCGGCUGGGCAAGUCCUCCGUUAAAUCCAACGAUUCAAUCGUUGGGCUGCGGGGGAUACUGUCCAGCUUGGGGGCGGGAGAGGCCGACGGUAUUCCCGGGGUAGGGGUGAAAUCCUAUAAUCCCCGGGAGGACCACCAGUGGCGAAGGCUGUCGGCUAGAACGCGCCCGACGGUGAGGGAUGAAAGCUGGGGGAGCGAACCGGAUUAGAUA
Molecule: ribosomal RNA, 404 nt
Filed under: uncultured microorganism
Description: bacterial SSU rRNA
Rfam family: Archaeal small subunit ribosomal RNA
Source: RNAcentral